CGCUGCUAUCUGCAGUCGAGCGAUCUUUCGGAACUUGUUUCGAAAGAUUAGCGGCGGACGGGUGAGUAACACGUGGGCAACCUGCCUGUAAGACUGGGAUAACACCGGGAAACCGGUGCUAAUACCGGAUAAUCCUUUUCCUCUCAUGAGGAAAAGCUGAAAGUCGGUUUCGGCUGACACUUACAGAUGGGCCCGCGGCGCAUUAGCUAGUUGGUGAGGUAACGGCUCACCAAGGCGACGAUGCGUAGCCGACCUGAGAGGGUGAUCGGCCACACUGGGACUGAGACACGGCCCAGACUCCUACGGGAGGCAGCAGUAGGGAAUCUUCCACAAUGGACGAAAGUCUGAUGGAGCAACGCCGCGUGAGCGAUGAAGGCCUUCGGGUCGUAAAGCUCUGUUGUUAGGGAAGAACAAGUACCGGAGUAACUGCCGGUACCUUGACGGUACCUAACCAGAAAGCCACGGCUAACUACGUGCCAGCAGCCGCGGUAAUACGUAGGUGGCAAGCGUUGUCCGGAAUUAUUGGGCGUAAAGCGCGCGCAGGCGGUCCUUUAAGUCUGAUGUGAAAGCCCACGGCUCAACCGUGGAGGGUCAUUGGAAACUGGGGGACUUGAGUGCAGAAGAGGAAAGCGGAAUUCCACGUGUAGCGGUGAAAUGCGUAGAGAUGUGGAGGAACACCAGUGGCGAAGGCGGCUUUCUGGUCUGUAACUGACGCUGAGGCGCGAAAGCGUGGGGAGCAAACAGGAUUAGAUACCCUGGUAGUCCACCCCGUAAACGAUGAGUGCUAAGUGUUAGAGGGUUUCCCCCCUUUAGUGCUGCAGCUAACCCAUUAAGCACUCCCCCUGGGGAGU
RNAcentral lists this ribosomal RNA (851 nucleotides) under uncultured bacterium. Its description in RNAcentral is "bacterial SSU rRNA". It matches the Rfam family "Bacterial small subunit ribosomal RNA", at positions 45 to 881 of the family's 1533-position model. The record is from RNAcentral.